UAGGGAAUCUUCCACAAUGGACGCAAGUCUGAUGGAGCAACGCCGCGUGAGUGAAGAAGGUUUUCGGACCGUAAAGCUCUGUUGUUGGUGAAGAAGGAUAGAGGUAGUAACUGGCCUUUAUUUGACGGUAAUCAACCAGAAAGUCACGGCUAACUACGUGCCAGCAGCCGCGGUAAUACGUAGGUGGCAAGCGUUGUCCGGAUUUAUUGGGCGUAAAGCGAGCGCAGGCGGAAGAAUAAGUCUGAUGUGAAAGCCCUCGGCUUAACCGAGGAAUUGCAUCGGAAACUGUUUUCUUGAGUGCAGAAGAGGAGAGUAGAACUCCAUGUGUAGCGGUGGAAUGCGUAGAUAUAUGGAAGAAUACCAGUGGCGAAGGCGGCUCUCUGGUCUGCAACUGACGCUGAGGCUCGAAAGCAUGGUAGCGAACAGGAUUAGAUACCCUGGUAGUCCAUGCCGUAAACGAUGAGUGCUAAGUGUUGGGAGGCUUCCGCCUCUCAGUGCUGCAGCUAACGCAUUAAGCACUCCGCCUGGGGGAGUACGACCGCAAGGUUGAA
RNAcentral lists this ribosomal RNA (551 nucleotides) under uncultured bacterium. RNAcentral describes it as "partial 16S ribosomal RNA". It matches the Rfam family "Bacterial small subunit ribosomal RNA", at positions 355 to 898 of the family's 1533-position model. The record is from RNAcentral.